This 600-nucleotide ribosomal RNA is filed under the name gamma proteobacterium WCIR6. RNAcentral describes it as "bacterial SSU rRNA". It matches the Rfam family "Bacterial small subunit ribosomal RNA", at positions 47 to 638 of the family's 1533-position model. Lineage: Bacteria; Pseudomonadati; Pseudomonadota; Gammaproteobacteria. The record is from RNAcentral.
CCUAACACAUGCAAGUCGAGCGGCAGCACGGGUUACUUGUUACCUGGUGGCGAGCGGCGGACGGGUGAGUAAUGCCUAGGAAUCUGCCUAGUANUGGGGGAUAACGUUCGGAAACGGACGCUAAUACCGCAUACGUCCUACGGGAGAAAGUGGGGGAUCUUCGGACCUCACGCUAUUAGAUGAGCCUAGGUCGGAUUANCUAGUUGGUAGGGUAAAGGCCUACCAAGGCUACGAUCCGUAACUGGUCUGAGAGGAUGAUCAGUCACACUGGAACUGAGACACGGUCCANACUCCUACGGGAGGCAGCAGUGGGGAAUAUUGGACAAUGGGCGAAAGCCUGAUCCAGCCAUGCCGCGUGUGUGAAGAAGGUCUUCGGAUUGUAAAGCACUUUAAGUUGGGAGGAAGGGCANUAAGCUAAUAUCUUGCUGUUUUGACGUUNCCGACAGAAUAAGCACCGGCUAACUCUGUGCCAGCAGCCGCGGUAAUACAGAGGGUGCAAGCGUUAAUCGGAAUUACUGGGCGUAAAGCGCGCGUAGGUGGUUGGUUAANUUGAAUGUGAAAUCCCCGGGCUCAACCUGGGAACUGCAUCCAAAACUGGCC